RNAcentral lists this ribosomal RNA (515 nucleotides) under uncultured bacterium. Its description in RNAcentral is "partial 16S ribosomal RNA". It matches the Rfam family "Bacterial small subunit ribosomal RNA", at positions 28 to 523 of the family's 1533-position model. The record is from RNAcentral.
GACGAACGCUGGCGGCGUGCCAAAUACAUGCAAGUCGAGCGGACUUUCAAGAAGCUUGCUUUUUGAAAGUUAGCGGCGGACGGGUGAGUAACACGUGGGCAACCUGCCUGUAAGACGGGGAUAACUCCGGGAAACCGGGGCUAAUACCGGAUAAUAUCUUUCUUCGCAUGAAGGAAGGUUGAAAGGCGGCGCAAGCUGCCGCUUGCAGAUGGGCCCGCGGCGCAUUAGCUAGUUGGUGAGGUAACGGCUCACCAAGGCGACGAUGCGUAGCCGACCUGAGAGGGUGAUCGGCCACACUGGGACUGAGACACGGCCCAGACUCCUACGGGAGGCAGCAGUAGGGAAUCUUCCGCAAUGGACGAAAGUCUGACGGAGCAACGCCGCGUGAGUGAAGAAGGUCUUCGGAUCGUAAAGCCCUGUUGUCAGGGAAGAACAAGUACCGUUCGAAUAGGGCGGUACCUUGACGGUACCUGACCAGAAAGCCACGGCUAACUACGUGCCAGCCGCCGCCGUAA